UUUCAUAAAAUUUUUAUUUUAAGAUAUUUAUAAAUAUAAAAUUUAAAAUAAAAUUUUUUUUAUUUUGUUGGGGUGAUAAAAAAAUAAAAAAAACUUUUUUUAAAAAAAAACAUAAAUAAGUGAUUGAUUGAUCCAAUUUUAUUGAUUAAAA
Molecule: ribosomal RNA, 151 nt
Filed under: Eulithis testata
Lineage: Eukaryota; Metazoa; Arthropoda; Insecta; Lepidoptera; Geometridae
Description: partial large subunit ribosomal RNA
Source: RNAcentral